This 1366-nucleotide long non-coding RNA is filed under the name Sus scrofa (pig). Its description in RNAcentral is "lncRNA (ENSSSCG00005027950.1)". The record is from RNAcentral. Lineage: Eukaryota; Metazoa; Chordata; Mammalia; Artiodactyla; Suidae.
CAAUAACAAACAAAUACAUUUAUUUUUCAGAGAUUCUGAACUUCAGAAACUUAAAAACACUCUCAAAAAUCCAAAGUCUUAUGAACACAAGAUGAAUUCACAGAUGAGCAGAUAAUGGGCUAAAACACACUCUCCUAAUUGGGAAAUCUAUUCAAUAUUCUGUAAUAACCUACGUGGGAAAAAAAGAAUGGAUGUGUGUGUGUAUAUAUAUAUAGAGAGAGAUAUCUAUAUAUAUAUAUAGAGAGAGAGAUAUCUCUCUCUAUAUAUAUAUACCUGAUUCACUUUGCUGUACAUAUGAAACUAACACAACAUUGUAACUCAACUAUAUUCCAAUAAAAUUUAAGCCGUUUCUUUCCAGUGGUAUAUUUGUGAAAAACACGCUUCCAGGUGGAGACACCUAAAGUAGUUUGCCAAAAUGGACCAUCUUUUGAACGCUUGUUCUGUAUUUGGUCUAAAUUUAGAUUCAAUAUCCAUCUCAGCAAGGAUUUCACACUCGAAUAACGGAACUGAUUACUGCCUGUACUCCUCAAUACAUGGAUAAGUCUCGAUUCCUACAGGCCGAAACAUCAGGGAAGGUUUUCUCUGGUUCUACCCUUUACUUCUUAUUGAAGAGGGGUUUGGUGUAGACAGUGUGUGGAUACUCAUGGGCCAAGUGAUCAGAAUUCUCUCUAGACUGUAUUUGAAGCUGCAUCCCAGAGCACAAGAGCGCAGGUCUAUUUCCAUUUAAGUGCAAAAACAAUUCCCAAAGCCCCAAAUGGUAUAAAUCUUACUGAUACUCAUUUUCACGAAUCCACUCCUGUCCGUUGCUCUCUUAGGGGAAAGAAAAAGGCCAUAAGGGCGUUCCUUAUUGUUAAUCAUUGUCUCUGAAAUUCUCGCAUGCAUAAAGAACAGAACAGUACCUGCCUUCCCGGGAACAUGUUUAUCUCAGUGAAAGGGGAAAAAAAAAAUACCACAGUACAUUUCCAGUUUUUCUUGUAACCGGAGAACUUAAAGGAAACAUUCUCAACCGUUGUGAACCAAAGAGGAAGCGAUGUUGAGAAAUCACAGACUUUUGAGGCAUUAAGCAAUGACCUCCUAGAAAAAGAAAGAAAGACUCUCACCGGAGAGGGAAACUCGGGAAUUGAAAUGUAUCAGGCAAAGCAUCUUAGGGGGUAAAAGGAAAAAAGAAAAUCAAGUAGUUUACCAUGAGAUUGAAAGAAAAUCCUGAAUGAUGACAAAGAAAGAACAUCCAUUUCGGAUAAAGGAGGCACUAUGAGGCUUCAUAGUCAACGUACUUACUGAGCGCAAACAGAGAAGAAUAAAAAACCAAACCAAACAUAGUCCCACAGCCCCAGUUCCAGCCGCUGUCAUUGCUGUCACCUGCUAU